ACGAGAUUAAGUCUACCAAGCGAAUGCUGAACAUUUUCGUAAAAGUGUUUCAACAGUUUUCUUAUCUUGAAAAUAAAAGAUAACAGUAGCGGUGAUUGCUACACUAGAGCAGGUUCUACAAACGCUAUUUAUUUGAGCAGAUGUUCUUUGGUAUUGUUUGGUGAAAAUAUCUUUUAAUCUGUUAUUAGAAAUUACACAUUGCUUCAUAAAGGUUUUGCAAACACAGUUACAAUGGACACCACAGAAGUACUUCUUGUCAUCUGCAUUAGUUUGACAACAGUAAAUCUUGUCGUAGUAAGUUUACUUUGCUGUAUAGUACAAAGAUAUAUUCGUCAAGCAACACGUGACUGCAAAUUCAAGCCGAGCUAUAAUUUAGAAACUUCAUAUACGAAAUGUAAGGUAGCAUUAGAUAAUCAUGCAUUUGCUGGGGAGAAAACGAUAGAAGUUAGAAUGGGAACGGUACAAGAUCAAGAAAUGGAGCAUACGAACGAUGAACGGUUGAAAACAUAAAGGAAAAAAUAGACUUAACUGUAAAGCGCCAUUUACUAAUGGCGAAAUUGCCAACGACUGAACAUAGGGACUGUAUAUUUUCCAGCACCAUGCCAAAACUCCCAGUGAUCGAGAGAUCAUUUGCGACCAUGUAUAAUUAAUGUACGUAAAUGAAAAACAUAUGAAUAAUAAAAUUUGAAACAAUAGUA
Long non-coding RNA from Xenia sp. Carnegie-2017, 698 nucleotides. RefSeq lists it as uncharacterized. The transcript has 2 exons. The record is from RefSeq and is a predicted model, not a curated record. Lineage: Eukaryota; Metazoa; Cnidaria; Anthozoa; Malacalcyonacea; Xeniidae.